RNAcentral lists this small RNA (1505 nucleotides) under Rattus norvegicus (Norway rat). Its description in RNAcentral is "uncharacterized LOC102550087". Lineage: Eukaryota; Metazoa; Chordata; Mammalia; Rodentia; Muridae. The record is from RNAcentral.
AUCUGAGUGUCCAAAGAAAGCGCCUCCGGGUAGGCCACGCCCACACUCUUCCAGAUAGGCCACGCCUAUACACGGAAGCGAGCAGGAGGCGAGGCCUCAGAAGGAAGGGAGCGAAUUGGAGCUAUGUCACCUGACCGGGUCUUGAAGCUCGUACGCGCCAUUUUCGUUACUGGUACUAAUGCUGUGCUCUGAACAGUAUGUCAAAGCUCCAAUCGGACUGUCAAUGCUCACAGACCUCACCAGGAACCAACACAAGGCCUCAUGUGGUGCACUACCUCCAGCCUUGUCGUAAGAGCCUGAAAUUAAGCAUUUCACCUGAUAAAGGACACUGACACUACACCUAGUGUCCAUCCCCGAAGAACAGAGAACUGGCCAAUGAAGCCUGAAGCUGAGUAAGGAAGAGUAUUACUGCGGAGUAAAAGUAUCAAAGUGGAGCAGGUGGAGCACACCUGUGAUCCCACCACUUGGGAGGAUCAGGAGUGCAACGUCAUGCUUAACUACACAGAAAGUUCAAGACCAUCCAGAGCUACAUGAGACUAUCUAAAAAAUGCCAAAACCAAAAGUAAACAAAAAACAGUAGCAAUAGAAAUAAAUAUGCUGUCUAGUUGUAUUAAUUAAUUUAUCAAAGGCUAUUCUGGUGAUCAUGGACCCAACCACACAUACAUACAUUGUUUGUUUUUUAAAGAAAUUGUUAUGUAAGAUUUCCUACAGUACAAGGGAAUACUGUGUUCAGCAGAACAUUCCUCUUUGACAUGUUUAUGACAGAAAGAUCCAGAAUCAUCUGUCCACAUAAUGUCCAAUAGCUACUGUUUUCCUUUAUAAACAGAAGGGGGUGGAGGGUUAGUUUAUGGAAUCCAGAAAUUUUUUUUCUUGGCAUAAUAGAUGAAAAGUCUCCAACAAAAAGCUGGGGACUCUGGGCUGAAGACCCACACCCUUGCCUGGGCCCUAGUGGCUGGAAAAGCCUGAGCCUGUCAGCCUUACUCCAGAACUUUCUUCUGGGCAACAUCUGGGGUGAAUUAAGUUUCUGUUCAGUCCCAGAGCCGGCUACAGAUGUAGAGGUGUGAGCGUGCUUCCCAAGAGCUGUAGAUUACAUGGUCAUGCUAUGGACCACUUUUAUUAGAAGUUCAAGCACCACAUUUCCAGAGCUAUGAAGGAUGACAGCGAAGAAGAAAGCCUUUAGAGCUUAAGUUACAACCACAUCUAAUGAGCACAGAGGUGUUCCUCGCUUACAGGGGUAUUGCUUUUCAACUCCUGUAGCUUGAACGAAGCCAGCGAUCAUAACAGUAAAUAUGGGUUGCGAAGGUAUCCCAGGAGGUAUCAUUAGUUACAAAGCACACCCUUUUCUAAUUUGUACACUUCCCAUGUUUCAGGGUUUCCCAGUACUGCUGAAGCCUCCAGAAUUUCAUGUUUCCCUCAGCAGGCUACAAUAACCCUUAGUCUGAAUGACAUGUAUUAUUUCCUCAGCAAACAUAUGAUGUGGGAAGCUUUAGUAAAAGAUUUAUUAU